Molecule: ribosomal RNA, 371 nt
Filed under: uncultured Halobacillus sp.
Lineage: Bacteria; Bacillati; Bacillota; Bacilli; Caryophanales; Bacillaceae
Description: bacterial SSU rRNA
Rfam family: Bacterial small subunit ribosomal RNA
Source: RNAcentral
GUGCCAGCCGCUGCGGUAAUACGUAGGGGCAAGCGUUGUCCGGAAUUAUUGGGCGUAAAGCGCUCGCAGGCGGUUCCUUAAGUCUGAUGUGAAAGCCCACGGCUCAACCGUGGAGGGUCAUUGGAAACUGGGGAACUUGAGGAUAGAAGAGGAGAGUGGAAUUCCACGUGUAGCGGUGAAAUGCGUAGAUAUGUGGAGGAACACCAGUGGCGAAGGCGACUCUCUGGUCUGUCUCUGACGCUGAGGAGCGAAAGCGUGGGUAGCAAACAGGAUUAGAUACCCUGGUAGUCCACGCCGUAAACGAUGAGUGCUAGGUGUAGGGGCUUCCACCCUUAGUGCUGAGUUAACGCAUUAAGCACUCCGCCUGGGGA